UACGUAGGGGGCAAGCGUUGUCCGGAAUCAUUGGGCGUAAAGCGCGUGUAGGCGGCCCGGUAAGUCCGCUGUGAAAGUCGGGGCUCAACCCUCGGAUGCCGGUGGAUACUGUCGGGCUAGAGUGCGGGAGGGGCGAGUGGAAUUCCUGGUGUAGCGGUGAAAUGCGCAGAUAUCAGGAGGAACACCAAUUGCGAAGGCAGCUCGCUGGGACGUCACUGACGCUGAGACGCGAAAGCGUGGGAGCAAACAGG
This 251-nucleotide ribosomal RNA is filed under the name uncultured bacterium. Its description in RNAcentral is "partial 16S ribosomal RNA". It matches the Rfam family "Bacterial small subunit ribosomal RNA", at positions 524 to 776 of the family's 1533-position model. The record is from RNAcentral.